UUUCCUGGUUGUCAAUUUUGUUUGGUCUGAUAUAUAAGCUGCACUGAAAAGACCGGAUAUGCUGCUGUUCUCCUCUGGCCCCGGUGCAACAGGUCCCGUCCUCUAGCAGCCACCUGCUCCCACGUGUUGAGUCCUCUGCCUGAUUAUUGCGCAAUUUGCACAUAGGAGAGUGCUGCCUGUGGACCUGUGGAGAGCGUGGCCGCCUAGAUGAUGGAGGGUUUUGUGAUAGAGUCCUCACUGUUGCUUCUCACCCCCAUAAAAGCGUGUUUGGUAGUCAUUUUUGCACUUCCUUCACAAUUUAGUUUUUUUCCCCUUUGGUUUUUGCCUCGCUGUGUGUGUGUGUGUGUAGGGCACAGCGGCGUGGUGGGUGCUCUGUACCAGUAUAACUUGCCCUCUCCCUGUCGGCGGCUAUGGCCGACCACGCCUUAGCGCUCCCAUUUUCUUAUAAUAGUCUAUUGUUACUGAAAUAUCUUUUGUACUUUUGCACAAUUUUAAAGUAGUCAGUAUUUAAUAAAUCUCCUGUUUUAA
Thunnus maccoyii (southern bluefin tuna) is the source of this 528-nucleotide long non-coding RNA. RefSeq lists it as uncharacterized. The record is from RefSeq and is a predicted model, not a curated record. The transcript is spliced from 3 exons. Lineage: Eukaryota; Metazoa; Chordata; Actinopteri; Scombriformes; Scombridae.